UACGGAGGGUGCGAGCGUUGUCCGGAAUCAUUGGGCGUAAAGGGCGCGUAGGUGGCCCGGUCAGUUCGUGGUGAAAGCGCGGGGCUCAACCCUGCGUCGGCCAUGAAAUACUGCCCGCGGCUGGAGCACUGUAGAGGCAGGCGGAAUCCGGGUGUAGCGGUGGAAUGCGUAGAGAUCCGGAAGAACACCGGUGGCGAAGGCGGGUCU
RNAcentral lists this ribosomal RNA (207 nucleotides) under uncultured bacterium. RNAcentral describes it as "partial 16S ribosomal RNA". It matches the Rfam family "Bacterial small subunit ribosomal RNA", at positions 524 to 727 of the family's 1533-position model. The record is from RNAcentral.